RNAcentral lists this ribosomal RNA (164 nucleotides) under Astrocaryum malybo. RNAcentral's name for it is "5.8S ribosomal RNA". It matches the Rfam family "5.8S ribosomal RNA". Rfam says of the family: 5.8S ribosomal RNA (5.8S rRNA) is a component of the large subunit of the eukaryotic ribosome. It is transcribed by RNA polymerase I as part of the 45S precursor that also contains 18S and 28S rRNA. Functionally, it is thought that 5.8S rRNA may be involved in ribosome translocation. Lineage: Eukaryota; Viridiplantae; Streptophyta; Magnoliopsida; Arecales; Arecaceae. The record is from RNAcentral.
CGUACGACUCUCGGCAACGGAUAUCUCGGUUCUCGCAUCGAUGAAGAACGUAGCGAAAUGCGAUACCUGGUGUGAAUUGCAGAAUCCCGCGAACCACCGAGUCUCUGAAUGCAAGUUGCGCCCGAGGCCACCCGGUCGAGGGCACGCCUGCCUGGGCGUCACGC